GAAGUGCAUUGUGGGAUACCUUCCUUGCCGGGCGCCAUCUUGAACCAAGUGGUUGUGUAGUUUCUUUUGAAGUUUGAAUUUAUUGUAUUUGUCACAAUGUACUCCCUAGCGCUAAGGCGACUAGCUACACCAUUAGCUGUUCGAUCUACGUCUGCCCUGGGUGUGACAGUUCGCAACAUGAGCAGUAACAAACCUGUGGAGUCAGAGGAGGCUUUCGAUGCACGCUGGGAAGCAUACUUUAGCAGACCUGAUAUCGAUGCAUGGGAGCUCAGAAGGGGUCUUAAUGAGCUCUAUGGCCAUGACCUGGUUCCUGAACCCAAGAUCAUCAAUGCCAUGUUCCAUGCAUGCCGCCGGCUCAACGACUAUGGUACUACCGUCCGUAUACUAGAGGCUGUCAAGGACAAGGCUGCCGGCAACAAGGAAAUCUACCCAUAUAUCUUGCAACAAUGCAAGCCAGUCAUGGAGGAGCUGGGGAUCCUCACACCGGAAGAACUAGGCUUGGCUAAGUAGACACAAUUGCUAUAGAUAAGAUAAGUGGGUUUCUGCUAUUUAGCAAAGUAGACUACACUGCUAUAGAUAAGGUGUUCUGGCAGCUGUUUGGCAAGUUGCAUUUAAUGUGUGAAUACGAUGCCUAACAUGUAAACCUAAUGAUAAUAUUAUGUUACGAGCAUUAUGACUCAAACUAUACUUGUAUAAUUUUACUGUAAAGAAAUAAAAUCAAGAGGUUGUUA
Nematostella vectensis (starlet sea anemone) is the source of this 731-nucleotide RNA transcript. It is a transcript of the gene named cytochrome c oxidase subunit 5A, mitochondrial, with no coding region annotated. Lineage: Eukaryota; Metazoa; Cnidaria; Anthozoa; Actiniaria; Edwardsiidae. The transcript is spliced from 5 exons. The record is from RefSeq and is a predicted model, not a curated record.